This 460-nucleotide ribosomal RNA is filed under the name uncultured bacterium. Its description in RNAcentral is "partial 16S ribosomal RNA". It matches the Rfam family "Bacterial small subunit ribosomal RNA", at positions 338 to 795 of the family's 1533-position model. The record is from RNAcentral.
CCUACGGGAGGCAGCAGUGAGGAAUAUUGGUCAAUGGGCGUAAGCCUGAACCAGCCAAGUCGCGUGAGGGAUGAAGGUUCUAUGGAUCGUAAACCUCUUUUAUAAGGGAAUAAAGUGCGGGACGUGUCCCGCUUUGUAUGUACCUUAUGAAUAAGGAUCGGCUAACUCCGUGCCAGCAGCCGCGGUAAUACGGAGGAUCCGAGCGUUAUCCGGAUUUAUUGUGUUUAAAGGGUGCGUAGGCGGCAUGUUAAGUCAGCGGGGAAAGUCUGUGGCGCAACCAUAGAAUUGCCGUUGAAACUGGGAGGCUGGAGUGUGUGUGAGGCAGGCGGAAUGCGAGGUGUAGCAGUGAAAUGCGUAGAUAUCACGCAGAACCCCGAUGGCGAAGGCGGCCAGCCAGGACAUGACUGACGCUGAGGCACGAAAGCGUGGGGAGCAAACAGGAUUAGAUACCCCAGUAGUC